GGUCCGUUGGCCCAAUGGUAAGGCGUCUGACUACGAUUAUUCGAAGCGCAAUCAGGAGAUUCUGGGUUCGACCCCCAGGCGGACCU
This 86-nucleotide transfer RNA is filed under the name Hypoxylon sp. CI-4A. It matches the Rfam family "tRNA". Rfam says of the family: Transfer RNA (tRNA) molecules are approximately 80 nucleotides in length. Their secondary structure includes four short double-helical elements and three loops (D, anti-codon, and T loops). The record is from Rfam by way of RNAcentral. Lineage: Eukaryota; Fungi; Ascomycota; Sordariomycetes; Xylariales; Hypoxylaceae.